GAGUUUGAUCCUGGCUCAGGAUGAACGCUGGCGGCGUGCUUAACGCAUGCAAGUCGAGCGAAGCACUUUGCUUAGAUUCUUCGGAUGAAGAGGAUUGUGACUGAGCGGCGGACGGGUGAGUAACGCGUGGGUAACCUGCCUCAUACAGGGGGAUAACAGUUAGAAAUGACUGCUAAUACCGCAUAAGACCACAGCACCGCAUGGUGCGGGGGUAAAAACUCCGGUGGUAUGAGAUGGACCCGCGUCUGAUUAGCUAGUUGGUAAGGUAACGGCUUACCAAGGCGACGAUCAGUAGCCGACCUGAGAGGGUGACCGGCCACACUGGGACUGAGACACGGCCCAGACUCCUACGGGAGGCAGCAGUAGGGAAUUUUCGGCAAUGGGGGGAACCCUGACCGAGCAACGCCGCGUGAAGGAAGAAGGAAUUCGUUCUGUAAACUUCUGUUAUAAAGGAAGAACGGCGGAUAUAGGGAAUGAUAUCCGAGUGACGGUACUUUAUGAGAAAGCCACGGCUAACUACGUGCCAGCCGCCGCGGUAAUUC
RNAcentral lists this ribosomal RNA (542 nucleotides) under uncultured bacterium. RNAcentral's name for it is "bacterial SSU rRNA". It matches the Rfam family "Bacterial small subunit ribosomal RNA", at positions 9 to 526 of the family's 1533-position model. The record is from RNAcentral.